GAUGAACGCUAGCGAUAGGCCUAACACAUGCAAGUCGAGGGGCAUCACAUGAAGUAGCAAUACGGAUGGUGGCGACCGGCGCACGGGUGAGUAACACGUAUGCAACCUGCCUUCAACAAGGGGAUAACCCGUUGAAAGACGGACUAAUACCCUAUAACACAGGGGUCCCGCAUGGGAAUAUUUGUUAAAGGACAACCGGUUGAAGAUGGGCAUGCGUUCCAUUAGCUAGUUGGCGGGGUAACGGCCCACCAAGGCAACGAUGGAUAGGGGAACUGAGAGGUUUAUCCCCCACACUGGUACUGAGACACGGACCAGACUCCUACGGGAGGCAGCAGUGAGGAAUAUUGGUCAAUGGACGCAAGUCUGAACCAGCCACGUCGCGUGAAGGAAGACGGCCCUACGGGUUGUAAACUUCUUUUAUACGGGAAUAAAGUGCCCCACGCGUGGGGUUUUGCAUGUACCGUAUGAAU
This 470-nucleotide ribosomal RNA is filed under the name uncultured bacterium. RNAcentral describes it as "bacterial SSU rRNA". It matches the Rfam family "Bacterial small subunit ribosomal RNA", at positions 28 to 487 of the family's 1533-position model. The record is from RNAcentral.